CCAGCUAGCCCGGAAUGCUGUCGGUAUCUUGUAGUGAGUCUCCACCGUCCAUGUCUUGUCCUGGGAGAAGAAGCGCACCAGCCUGUCGUGCGCGUGCGUCUCGUUUCCGGCGAGUUCAGAUGAAGACCAUCCUGAUGGCUGCACCCACCUUAUAGUAACAGAAGCACUUCCAGCUUGCUGAUAGUAGUGAUGUACUGCUGUGCUUCCAGUUCUACUUUCAUCAAACUAAAAAGGAGCCUAGGGAGGCUGUCAUGACAGCAGUAGAAUAAGUCCUUUGGAAUCCGUUCUGCCUGGUGGUCAAGCACUUGCCCUUUUGGACUCUGACAAGAGGAACCAAGAGCCUCCCACGAUUCUCCUGGUUUAUUUGUGAACGUUGAUGAUCUUGUGGGCAACAACAAAACAGCACAAAAGUUUAUUUCAAGGGUGCAUAAUAUCCUAAUAAUUUACUUGAAAGUUUCCUGGAGAGAACUACACGCAGUGAUAGAUGCAGCAGACACUUUACUUAAGUGAAAGUAUUAAUACCACACCGUACCAACAGAUUUAUAAGCAGCCCUGCUUUAUAUAUCAGCUAUACUGGUGACCUGUUUUCAUCACUGUAUGUAUGGGAUCUCACCUUAUUUGAACUUUGCUAUUG
This is a long non-coding RNA of Epinephelus fuscoguttatus (brown-marbled grouper), 634 nucleotides long. RefSeq lists it as uncharacterized. Lineage: Eukaryota; Metazoa; Chordata; Actinopteri; Perciformes; Serranidae. The record is from RefSeq and is a predicted model, not a curated record. The transcript is spliced from 4 exons.